This 184-nucleotide long non-coding RNA is filed under the name Numida meleagris (helmeted guineafowl). Its description in RNAcentral is "lncRNA (ENSNMEG00000006319.1)". The record is from RNAcentral. Lineage: Eukaryota; Metazoa; Chordata; Aves; Galliformes; Numididae.
GUCCCCAUUGUCCCCAUGUCCCCAUGUGUCCCCAUUGUCCCCAUGUGUCCCCAUUGUCCCCAUGGCCUCAUGUGUCCCCAUUGUCCCUACAUGUCCCCAUUGUCCCCAUGUCCCCACAUCCCCCCAUGUCCCCAUGUGUCCCCAUGUCCCUGUAUGUCCCCAUGGGUCCCCAUUGUCCCCACAU